GUUUCCGUAGUGUAGUAGUUAUAACGUCUGCCUAACACGCAGAAGGUCGCCAGUUCGAGCCUGGGCGUAAACA
Nematostella vectensis (starlet sea anemone) is the source of this 73-nucleotide non-coding RNA. NCBI's taxonomy places the organism in Eukaryota, Metazoa, Cnidaria, Anthozoa, Actiniaria, Edwardsiidae. The record is from Rfam.